UGAGGAAUAUUGGACAAUGGGCGCAAGCCUGAUCCAGCCAUGCCGCGUGCAGGAUGACGGUCCUAUGGAUUGUAAACUGCUUUUGCACAGGAAGAAACAACAUUACGUGUAAUGUCUUGACGGUACUGUGAGAAUAAGGAUCGGCUAACUCCGUGCCAGCAGCCGCGGUAAUACGGAGGAUCCAAGCGUUAUCCGGAAUCAUUGGGUUUAAAAGGGGUCCGUAGGCGGUUUAGUAAGUCAGUGGUGAAAGCCCAUCGCUCAACGGUGGAACGGCCAAUUGAUACUGCUAGACUUGAAUUAUUAGGAAGUAACUAGAAUAUGUAGUGUAGCGGUGAAAUGCUUAGAGAUUACAUGGAAUACCAAUUGCGAAGGCAGGUUACUACUAAUGGAUUGACGCUGAUGGACGAAAAGCGUGGGUAGCGAAACAGGAUUAGAUACCCUGGUAGUCCACGCCGUAAAACGAU
This 464-nucleotide ribosomal RNA is filed under the name uncultured bacterium. Its description in RNAcentral is "partial 16S ribosomal RNA". It matches the Rfam family "Bacterial small subunit ribosomal RNA", at positions 355 to 810 of the family's 1533-position model. The record is from RNAcentral.